GACUACAGGGGUAUCUAAUCCUGUUCGCUCCCCACGCUUUCGUGCCUCAGCGUCAGUAUCGCCUUAGUAAGCUGCCUUCGCAAUUGGUGUUCUAUGUCAUAUCUAAGCAUUUCACCGCUACACGACAUAUUCCGCCUACUUCAAGCGCACUCAAGAAUACCAGUAUCAAUGGCAAGUCUACAGUUGAGCUGCAGGAUUUCACCACUGACUUAAUGUUCCGCCUACGCACCCUUUAAACCCAAUGAAUCCGGAUAACGCUUGCACCCUUCGUAUUACCGCGGCUGCUGGCACGAAGUUAGCCGGUGCUUAUUCCUCAGGUACCGUCAACCCAGGACACGUCCUGGGGUUUCUUCCCUGGUAAAAGCAGUUUACAACGCGUAGCGCCUUCUUCCUGCACGCGGCAUGGCUGCGUCAGAGUUGCCUCCAUUGCGCAAUAUUCCUCACUGCAGCCCCCCGUAGG
RNAcentral lists this ribosomal RNA (460 nucleotides) under uncultured Bacteroidota bacterium. RNAcentral's name for it is "uncultured Bacteroidetes bacterium partial 16S ribosomal RNA". The record is from RNAcentral. Lineage: Bacteria; Pseudomonadati; Bacteroidota.